RNAcentral lists this ribosomal RNA (252 nucleotides) under uncultured bacterium. RNAcentral's name for it is "partial 16S ribosomal RNA". It matches the Rfam family "Bacterial small subunit ribosomal RNA", at positions 524 to 776 of the family's 1533-position model. The record is from RNAcentral.
UACGUAGGGGGCGAGCGUUGUCCGGAGUUACUGGGCGUAAAGGGCAUGCAGGCGGUCGGACGCGUUUCGGGUGACAGCGGGUGGCUUAACUACCCGAGUGGUCGAAAGACGGUUUGACUUGAGGACGCGAGAGGGACACGGAAUUCCGGGUGGAGUGGUGAAAUGCGUAGAGAUCCGGAGGAACACCGAAGGCGAAGGCAGUGUCCUGGCGCGUGACUGACGCUGAGGUGCGAAAGCCAGGGAGCGAACGGG